This 2325-nucleotide ribosomal RNA is filed under the name Listeria monocytogenes. RNAcentral describes it as "bacterial LSU rRNA". It matches the Rfam family "Bacterial large subunit ribosomal RNA", at positions 1 to 2316 of the family's 2925-position model. The record is from RNAcentral. Lineage: Bacteria; Bacillati; Bacillota; Bacilli; Caryophanales; Listeriaceae.
UUGGUUAAGUUAGAAAGGGCGCACGGUGGAUGCCUUGGCACUAGGAGCCGAAGAAGGACGGGACUAACACCGAUAUGCUUUGGGGAGCUGUACGUAAGCGUUGAUCCAGAGAUUUCCGAAUGGGGGAACCCACUAUCUUUAGUCGGAUAGUAUCCUUACGUGAAUACAUAGCGUGAGGAAGGCAGACCCAGGGAACUGAAACAUCUAAGUACCUGGAGGAAGAGAAAGAAAAAUCGAUUUCCUGAGUAGCGGCGAGCGAAACGGAAAGAGCCCAAACCAAGAAGCUUGCUUCUUGGGGUUGUAGGACACUCUAUACGGAGUUACAAAAGAAAGUUAUAAAUGAAGCGGUCUGGAAAGGCCCGCCAAAGACGGUAACAGCCCGGUAGUUGAAAUGGCUUUCCCUCCAGAGUGGAUCCUGAGUACGGCGGAACACGUGAAAUUCCGUCGGAAUCCGGGAGGACCAUCUCCCAAGGCUAAAUACUCCCUAGUGACCGAUAGUGAACCAGUACCGUGAGGGAAAGGUGAAAAGCACCCCGGAAGGGGAGUGAAACAGUUCCUGAAACCGUGUGCCUACAAGUAGUUAGAGCCCGUUAAUGGGUGAUAGCGUGCCUUUUGUAGAAUGAACCGGCGAGUUACGAUUUGUUGCAAGGUUAAGCGGAAAAAGCGGAGCCGUAGCGAAAGCGAGUCUGAAUAGGGCGCAUAAGUAACAGGUCGUAGACCCGAAACCAGGUGAUCUACCCAUGUCCAGGAUGAAGGUAAGGUAAUACUUACUGGAGGUCCGAACCCACGCACGUUGAAAAGUGCGGGGAUGAGGUGUGGGUAGCGGAGAAAUUCCAAUCGAACUUGGAGAUAGCUGGUUCUCUCCGAAAUAGCUUUAGGGCUAGCCUCGAGGUAAAGAGUCAUGGAGGUAGAGCACUGUUUGGACUAGGGGCCCUUCUCGGGUUACCGAAUUCAGAUAAACUCCGAAUGCCAUGUACUUAUACUCGGGAGUCAGACUGCGAGUGAUAAGAUCCGUAGUCGAAAGGGAAACAGCCCAGACCACCAGUUAAGGUCCCCAAAUAUAUGUUAAGUGGAAAAGGAUGUGGGGUUGCUUAGACAACCAGGAUGUUGGCUUAGAAGCAGCCACCAUUGAAAGAGUGCGUAAUAGCUCACUGGUCGAGUGACCCCGCGCCGAAAAUGUACCGGGGCUAAACAUAUUACCGAAACUGUGGAUGAACCUCUUUAGAGGUUCGUGGUAGGAGAGCGUUCUAAGGGCGGUGAAGUCAGACCGGAAGGACUGGUGGAGCGCUUAGAAGUGAGAAUGCCGGUAUGAGUAGCGAAAGAAGGGUGAGAAUCCCUUCCACCGAAUAUCUAAGGUUUCCUGAGGAAGGCUCGUCCGCUCAGGGUUAGUCGGGACCUAAGCCGAGGCCGAUAGGCGUAGGCGAUGGACAACAGGUAGAGAUUCCUGUACCAGUGCUAAUUGUUUAACCGAUGGGGUGACACAGAAGGAUAGGGAAUCGCACGAAUGGAAAUGUGCGUCCAAGCAGUGAGUGUGAGAAGUAGGCAAAUCCGCUUCUCGCGAAGCAUGAGCUGUGAUGGGGAAGGAAAUUAAGUACGGAAGUUCCUGAUUUCACGCUGUCAAGAAAAGCCUCUAGGAAGAGUAGUACUGCCCGUACCGCAAACCGACACAGGUAGAUGAGGAGAGAAUCCUAAGGUGAGCGAGAGAACUCUCGUUAAGGAACUCGGCAAAAUGACCCCGUAACUUCGGGAGAAGGGGUGCUCUAUUAGGGUGCAAGCCCGAGAGAGCCGCAGUGAAUAGGCCCAGGCGACUGUUUAGCAAAAACACAGGUCUCUGCAAAACCGUAAGGUGACGUAUAGGGGCUGACGCCUGCCCGGUGCUGGAAGGUUAAGAGGAGUGCUUAGCUUCGGCGAAGGUACGAAUUGAAGCCCCAGUAAACGGCGGCCGUAACUAUAACGGUCCUAAGGUAGCGAAAUUCCUUGUCGGGUAAGUUCCGACCCGCACGAAAGGCGCAACGAUCUGGGCACUGUCUCAACGAGAGACUCGGUGAAAUUAUAGUACCUGUGAAGAUGCAGGUUACCCGCGACAGGACGGAAAGACCCCGUGGAGCUUUACUGCAACCUGAUAUGGAAUGUUUGUACCGCUUGUACAGGAUAGGUAGGAGCCGAAGAGACGUGUGCGCUAGCAUACGAGGAGGCAAUGGUGGGAUACUACCCUGGCUGUAUGACCAUUCUAACCCGCCACGCUUAGCGCGUGGGGAGACAGUGUCAGGUGGGCAGUUUGACUGGGGCGGUCGCCUCCUAAAGAGUAACGGAGGCGCCCAAAGG